This 433-nucleotide ribosomal RNA is filed under the name uncultured bacterium. RNAcentral describes it as "partial 16S ribosomal RNA". It matches the Rfam family "Bacterial small subunit ribosomal RNA", at positions 29 to 507 of the family's 1533-position model. The record is from RNAcentral.
AACGAACGCUGGCGGCAUGCCUAACACAUGCAAGUCGAACGAGAACUUCGGGUCUAGUGGCGCACGGGUGCGUAACGCGUGGGAACCUGCCCUUAUGUUCGGAAUAACUCUCCGAAAGGGGUGCUAAUACCGGAUAAUGUCUUCGGACCAAAGAUUUAUCGCCUUUGGAUGGGCCCGCGUUGGAUUAGGUAGUUGGUAGGGUAAUAGCCUACCAAGGCGACGAUCCAUAGCUGGUCUGAGAGGAUGAUCAGCCACACUGGGACUGAGACACGGCCCAGACUCCUACGGGAGGCAGCAGUGGGGAAUAUUGGACAAUGGGGGCAAGCCUGAUCCAGCAAUGCCGCGUGAGUGAUGAAGGCCUUAGGGUUGUAAAGCUCUUUUACCCGGGAAGAUAAUGACGGUACCGGGAGAAUAAGCCCCGGCUAACUCCGUG